GAGUCAGUCUGCCUGGUGGAACUGAGCCAUUUAACAAGCAGCAUUUUUUUUUUACUGCUCUUUGGGAGUAGGCCCCAAGGAGCUGGUAAUUCAGGGCUUUGAUCAGCUGUUAAAAUGCAAGCAGGGAGAUGGGACAUGAACUGAUUGCAUAUUCCAGAGUAUUGGCAUGGCUAGAAGGAAGGGGCAACUCUGUACUUUCAUCGUCUUCACCUCUAAGGAGGUCACUCACUGGCAUCUCCCUGCAGCUCUGGGUAAUCUGUUAGCCUGUUCAGGUUACCAAAUGAUCCAUUAAAACAAGUUAACCUGAUGAACAGAUACUGCCUGCCCAUGUAUGAUCAUGCUGAAGACACAGAAGUUGCCAUGUUGGCUGUGUGAUCUCAUAAUUCCAGAACCCUUUAAAUAAAAGUGCAGCAGGUAGCAGAGUUUCACAGACUCGAAUCCCACCCAGAGGACAAGUUGUGCUGGCUUCAGCUGGAAGACAUGCUUCUUUUCUAGGCCUCUAGCACCAUCAGAACCCUGAGAAGAUGACACGGUGCAACUGCAGGCCCCCUUCCCUCAGCAGGCGCAAAAGGAAGGGUGCUGGAGGCCAGAGGAAAGGGAGAAGAGGAAAGAAAGGGAGAAAAGUAUCUGUAGCUCACACUGUGUACUACUACAGGAAGGUAAAAUAGCCUUUGUGAGCCUCCCUUUUCCAACGUGCAGCAGUUUUGGAAACAUCAGCCGACACCGACAAGAUGAUUUCUGCCACAGCUCCACCAAAGUCAGAUGGACUGACACACCAAGAUGCUGAAGUCCUCCAGAGAGCAACAAUUUGUCAUUAAACGUGAAGCUGCAAUGUC
Long non-coding RNA from Hemicordylus capensis (graceful crag lizard), 836 nucleotides. RefSeq lists it as uncharacterized. NCBI's taxonomy places the organism in Eukaryota, Metazoa, Chordata, Lepidosauria, Squamata, Cordylidae. The record is from RefSeq and is a predicted model, not a curated record. The transcript has 4 exons.